This 292-nucleotide non-coding RNA is filed under the name Clostridium sp. RNAcentral describes it as "T-box sequence". It matches the Rfam family "T-box leader". Rfam says of the family: Uncharged tRNA acts as the effector for transcription antitermination of genes in the T-box leader family. T-boxes are found upstream of many aminoacyl-tRNA synthetase genes and some amino acid biosynthetic genes usually in Gram-positive bacteria. Lineage: Bacteria; Bacillati; Bacillota; Clostridia; Eubacteriales; Clostridiaceae. The record is from RNAcentral.
AUAAAUGCAAUGAUGAAGAAAAGUAAAUUCAAAUAGGUGAUUUUUAGAGAGCAGAUGAUGGUGGAAUAUCUGUAUGAGUCUUGAAUUGAAAGAACACUUCGGAGUAAUUAACUGAAAUUUUAAGUGACUAAUCUAAGUGAUUGUAGUGCAUAAUAAAGAGUAGGCUUAAUCGGGUCCACACCGUUAAAAGUGGAGGGUAUAAAAUUAUGUGUUAUAUAUUUUUGUACUUGUUUGAGGUGAGUUUUUAUAUAAACUAACUAGGGUGGUACCGCGAAGUAUUCUCGUCCCUAUG